GAUGCGGUGGCCUAACGAUUAGCGUGUUGGACUCCGGAUCGAGCGGUCCGGGUUCGAGCCCUGGACUCUGGCUCACUGUGUUG
Desmophyllum pertusum is the source of this 83-nucleotide non-coding RNA. The record is from the annotation of a GenBank genome assembly. Lineage: Eukaryota; Metazoa; Cnidaria; Anthozoa; Scleractinia; Caryophylliidae.